This is an RNA transcript of Brienomyrus brachyistius, 3672 nucleotides long. It is a transcript of the gene named striatin-interacting protein 1 homolog, with no coding region annotated. The record is from RefSeq and is a predicted model, not a curated record. NCBI's taxonomy places the organism in Eukaryota, Metazoa, Chordata, Actinopteri, Osteoglossiformes, Mormyridae. The transcript has 22 exons.
AGAUGUGCGGAGGGUGCCACCGUUUCCACGUCAAAGAUGGACGUCGUAGGAGGAGGAGGAGGCGGUGGCGGUGGGUUGAUCGCCAAUAACAAGCAGAGAGCUAUGAUACCCAACAAAAGCAGGGGUGAAUUUACCCGCAACCAAAGAAAAGACUCGGAGGGGUUUUCCGAGGCUCCGGAUCUGGAGUUCGAAUAUGGCGACACGGAUAAGUGGGCGGCAGAGCUGUCAGAGCUGUACAGCUACACUGAGGGGCCGGAGUUCCUCCUCAAUAGGAAAUGCUUCACGGAGGACUUCAGGACUCAUGUGACUGAUAGGAAGUGGACAGAGCUGAGCCUGGCUGAGCACCGCGCCCACGCCAUGCGCCUGCUGGACAGCCUGGAGGUGACGGCCCGCGAGAAGAGGCUGAAGGUGGCCAGAGCCAUUCUCUACAUGGCUCAGGGUACCUUCGGGGAGUGUGAAUCGGAGGCGGAGGUGCAGCACUGGAUGCGGUACAACGUCUUUCUACUGCUGGAGGUCGGCACCUUCUCAGCCCUGGUGGAGCUGCUGAACAUGGAGAUCGAUAACAGUGCUGCCUGCACUAGUGCCGUCAGGAAACCUGCCAUCUCCUUGGCUGAUAGCACAGACCUCAGGGUGCUGCUGAACAUCAUGUACCUGAUGGUGGAGACCAUUCAGCAGGAGGACCUUGCUGACAGCCCAGAGUGGAGGACCGCUCGGGACACCUUCAGGACUGAGCUGGGCUCUCCGCUGUACAACAACGAGCCCAUCUCCGUCAUGCUAUUUGGCAUGGUGACCAAGUUCUGCAGUGGCCACGCCCCCCACUUCCCCAUGAAGAAGGUCUUGCUGCUGCUGUGGAAGACAAUCCUGUUCACACUGGGUGGUUUCGAGCAGCUCCAGCAAAUCAAGGUGCGUAAGCGGGAGGAUCUGACUUUGCCCCCCCUGCCGGAGGACAGCAUCCGGGUGGUGCGCAGCAUGCGAGCCGCCUCGCCCCCUGCCUCCGCAUCCGACCUCAUAGAGCAGCAGCAAAAACGGGCUCGCCGCGAGCACAAGGCUCUCAUCAAGCAGGACAACCUAGAUGCCUUCAACGAAAAGGACCCCUACAAGGCGGAUGAUACUCGUGAGGAUGAAGAUGACAGCGAUGACAAUGACAAUAGCCUGGAACCGGAGACCUUUCCCUUAGAGCGGGACGAGGUCAUGCCCCCGCCAAUCCCACACCCGCCCUGCGAGAGGGUGUCUUUCCCCAAGGGCCUUCCUUGGGCCCCCAAAGUCCGGGAGAAGGACAUCGAACACUUCUUGGAAUCUAGCAGAAGCAAAUUUAUUGGAUACACUUUAGGAAGUGAUACAGACACCAUUGUGGGCCUGCCUACCCCCAUCCACGAGAGCAUCAGGACCCUGAAGCAGCACAAGUAUGUGUCCAUUGCCGAAAUUCAGAUUGCCAAAGAAGAGGAGUUCCAGAAGACCCCACUGUCGGGGGGGGAAGAGGAAGUAGAGAUGUGUUCCACUGAGCUGCUGUACCAGGGAAUCCUCCCCAGCCUGCCACAGUAUAUGAUUGCACUGCUGAAGAUCCUGCUGGCUGCAGCUCCCACUUCCAAGGCCAAAACCGACUCCAUAAACAUCUUGGCUGACGUCCUGCCUGAAGAGAUGCCGACCACAGUUCUGCAGAGCAUGAAGCUGGGUGUGGAUGUGAAUCGGCAUAAGGAGAUCAUCGUCAAGGCCAUCUCUGCCAUCUUGCUGCUGCUACUUAAACACUUUAAACUCAACCACAUCUACCAGUUUGAGUAUAUGGCCCAACACCUGGUCUUUGCUAACUGCAUUCCGCUCAUCCUGAAGUUCUUCAACCAGAACAUAAUGUCCUACAUCACAGCUAAGAACAGCAUCUCCGUGCUGGACUUCCCCCACUGUGUGGUGCAUGAGCUGCCUGAGCUGACUGCAGAGAGCCUGGAGGCUGGUGACAACAACCAGUUCUGCUGGAGGAACCUUUUCUCUUGCAUCAACCUGCUGAGAAUCCUCAACAAGCUCACCAAGUGGAAGCACUCCAGAACCAUGAUGCUGGUUGUCUUUAAGUCGGCUCCUAUCCUCAAGAGGGCGCUCAAGGUCAAGCAGGCCAUGAUGCAGCUAUACGUGUUAAAGCUGUUGAAGGUCCAGACUAAGUACUUAGGGCGACAAUGGAGGAAAAGCAACAUGAAAACCAUGUCGGCCAUCUACCAGAAGGUGCGGCAUCGCCUCAAUGAUGACUGGGCCUACGGAAACGAUCUGGAUGCACGGCCCUGGGACUUCCAGGCCGAGGAGUGCGCGCUGAGGGCCAACAUAGAGCGCUUCAAUGCCCGGCGCUACGACAAGAGCCAGGGAAACCCGGACUUCCUGCCCGUGGACAACUGCCUGCAGAGCGUGCUGGGCCAGCGUGUGGAGCUGCCCGAGGAAUUCCAAAUGAACUAUGACCUCUGGCUGGAGCGGGAGGUCUUCUCCAAACCCAUCUCCUGGGAGGAGCUGUUGCAGUGAGGCCGAGGUGCGGUCAGACAGAGUCCUGGUGGGACCCGGCAGAACCCGGUUCCUCCCUCUGCUGUGCUCUCAUCAAGAGAGACAAAGCCUUGUCCCAGCGCCUUGUCAGGACCACCAGAGCCGUGGCCUGCUUGUCACUCUGGUCUGAAAUCAGAAGCGUCACGGCAGUGGUUACUGCUCACUGAGAUGCCAGGAGCACUCCAUCUGUUUCCUUACUGCUUCUUUUGGUUACCCCUACCCCCCCCUAUACACACACACACACAUGCACACACAAGCCUCUGUGCUCUUCCUCCAGUCUGGGCCAAACUACACCCCUAACUGUAUUUUAGUACCCUUCAAUAGCAGGACCGCACCAAAUCUGCUGGUCAUCGAGGAUUGUGUUAGAACCUACAACCUGCUGCAGUGUGGCACUGUCAGCUUAUGGAAAGGGGAUCCAGCCCCCUUUGGACCUUUUACCUCCUCAACCUUACACUACUGUCCUCUCCUGGGGGCAUCUUAGAAUCUGUAUGUUAUGAAUGAUUUCUGUUAUGUAUUUUUGUGUGUAUAAGGAGCAUCGCUUAUAGGUUUGUGUUUUAUUUCUAUAGGCAGAUGUGCGGGUUUGUGGGCAUGGGGGGGGGCUGUGCCUUCACAUCGCCCCCUUUUUAUUGUCCUGCGGACCAGAUGUUGUGUUUCCUGAGUGAUGCUCCCUGGGCGUAAAAUGCUGGAAGCUGGUGAUUUUGGUCUGGGCCUUUUUUUUUCAUUCUUUCUUUGCUUAUUCUCCUUUUAAAAUAUUACUUUUGCGUAGCAUACGUCUUGCCAUUUAAUCUUAGCUGUGCGCUAUGCUAAGGCAGGUAUGUAAUACCUGCAUAAAGGCCAGGGGAAUGCCCCCCCCCCCCCCCCACCAUUUCUGGGAGUCCAGCCAUUGGUUGUCAGUCUUGCUGUGUUUAUGUCCGCAAGGCCAUGGCUGUGGAAAAUGAAGGGGGAAGCCAACCUUUCAGAUGAAUUUUCAAAGGGGGACCUGAUUUGACAGGCAGGCAGGCAGGCAGGUAAGUGUCCUGUUGGAAAGGGCCUCAUAAGUCAGAACUCCUUGCAGCUUUCAUUAUAGAUCAUGUUUUAAUAUCAUCUGUUUUUGUACAGUUUGCUGCAUCACUCUCUGUAAGCGACGGAAUUAAUAAAUUUCUCUGAUGUGUGCUGCUG